AUAUCAAUAAGCGGAGGAAAAGAAACCAACAGGGAUUGCCUUAGUAACGGCGAGUGAAGCGGCAAAAGCUCAAAUUUGAAAUCUAACACUUUCAGUGUUCGAGUUGUAAUUUGAAGAAAGUUUCUCUGAGUAGUCCUUUAUCUAUGUUCCUUGGAACAGGACGUCAUAGAGGGUGAGAACCCCGUAUGAUUUUGGAUACUAUUCUUUGUGAGAUUCUUUCGAAGAGUCGAGUUGUUUGGGAAUGCAGCUCUAAGUGGGUGGUAAAUUCCAUCUAAAGCUAAAUAUUGGCGAGAGACCGAUAGCGAACAAGUACAGUGAUGGAAAGAUGAAAAGAACUCUGAAGAGAGAGUGAAAAAGUACGUGAAAUUGCUGAAAGGGAAGGGCUUUAGGUUAGACUUGGUGUUUAGUGAUUAUCUUCCCUUCUGGGUUGUGCACUCGCUUUUCACUGGGCCAAUAUCAGUUUUGGGGACAGAGCACUCAUUGGAAUGUGGCUUCUCUCGAGAAGUGUUAUAGCCUUUGGACGAUCUGUUUCUGGGACUGAGGACUGCGCAUUUAUGCUAGGAUAUUGGCGUAAUAAC
Molecule: ribosomal RNA, 578 nt
Filed under: [Candida] sp. JW01-7-11-1-2-y1
Lineage: Eukaryota; Fungi; Ascomycota; Saccharomycetes; Saccharomycetales
Description: eukaryotic LSU rRNA
Rfam family: Eukaryotic large subunit ribosomal RNA
Source: RNAcentral